AAAAAAGGUAAGCUACUAAGAGCGAAUGGUGGAUGCCUUGACUGGUAAAGGCGAUGAAGGACGUACUAGACUGCGAUAAGCUACGGGGAGCUGUCAAGAAGCUUUGAUCCGUAGAUUUCCGAAUGGGGCAACCCAAUGUAUAGAGAUAUACAUUACCUAUAUAGGAGCGAACGAGGGGAAUUGAAACAUCUUAGUACCCUCAGGAAAAGAAAUCAAUAGAGAUUGCGUCAGUAGCGGCGAGCGAAAGCGCAAGAGGGCAAACCCAGUGCUUGCACUGGGGGUUGUAGGACUGCAAUGUGCAAGAGGUGAGUUUAGCAGAACAUUCUGGAAAGUAUAGCCAUAGAGGGUGAUAGUCCCGUAUGCGAAAAACAAACCUUAGCUAGCAGUAUCCUGAGUAGGGCGGGACACGAGAAAUCCUGUCUGAAGCUGGGUCGACCACGAUCCAACCCUAAAUACUAAUACCAGAUCGAUAGUGCACAAGUACCGUGAGGGAAAGGUGAAAAGAACUGAGGUGAUCAGAGUGAAAUAGAACCUGAAACCAUUUGCUUACAAUCAUUCAGAGCACUAUGUAGCAAUACAGUGUGAUGGACUGCCUUUUGCAUAAUGAGCCUGCGAGUUGUGGUGUCUGGCAAGGUUAAGCAAACGCGAAGCCGUAGCGAAAGCGAGUCUGAAUAGGGCGCUUAGUCAGAUGCUGCAGACCCGAAACGAAGUGAUCUAUCCAUGAGCAAGUUGAAGCUAGUGUAAGAACUAGUGGAGGACUGAACCCAUAGGCGUUGAAAAGCCCCGGGAUGACUUGUGGAUAGGGGUGAAAGGCCAAUCAAACUUCGUGAUAGCUGGUUCUCUCCGAAAUAUAUUUAGGUAUAGCGUUGUGUCGUAAUAUAAGGGGGUAGAGCACUGAAUGGGCUAGGGCAUACACCAAUGUACCAAACCCUAUCAAACUCCGAAUACCUUAUAUGUAAUCACAGCAGUCAGGCGGCGAGUGAUAAAAUCCGUCGUCAAGAGGGAAACAACCCAGACUACCAGCUAAGGUCCCUAAAUCUUACUUAAGUGGAAAACGAUGUGAAGUUACUUAAACAACCAGGAGGUUGGCUUAGAAGCAGCCAUCCUUUAAAGAAAGCGUAAUAGCUCACUGGUCUAGUGAUUUUGCGCGGAAAAUAUAACGGGGCUAAAGUAAGUACCGAAGCUGUAGACUUGAUUUUAUCAAGUGGUAGGAGAGCGUUCUAUUUGCGCCGAAGGUAUACCGGUAAGGAGUGCUGGAGCGAAUAGAAGUGAGCAUGCAGGCAUGAGUAGCGAUAAUUAAUGUGAGAAUCAUUAACGCCGUAAACCCAAGGUUUCCUACGCGAUGCUCGUCAUCGUAGGGUUAGUCGGGUCCUAAGUCGAGUCCGAAAGGGGUAGACGAUGGCAAAUUGGUUAAUAUUCCAAUACCAACAUUAGUGUGCGAUGGAAGGACGCUUAGGGCUAAGGGGGCUAGCGGAUGGAAGUGCUAGUCUAAGGUCGUAGGAGGUUAUACAGGCAAAUCCGUAUAACAAUACUCCGAGAACUGAAAGGCUUUUUGAAGUCUUCGGAUGGAUAGAAGAACCCCUGAUGCCGUCGAGCCAAGAAAAGUUUCUAAGUUUAGCUAAUGUUGCCCGUACCGUAAACCGACACAGGUGGGUGGGAUGAGUAUUCUAAGGCGCGUGGAAGAACUCUCUUUAAGGAACUCUGCAAAAUAGCACCGUA
This 1719-nucleotide ribosomal RNA is filed under the name Campylobacter coli. RNAcentral describes it as "partial 23S ribosomal RNA". It matches the Rfam family "Bacterial large subunit ribosomal RNA", at positions 1 to 1732 of the family's 2925-position model. The record is from RNAcentral. Lineage: Bacteria; Pseudomonadati; Campylobacterota; Epsilonproteobacteria; Campylobacterales; Campylobacteraceae.